This is a non-coding RNA of Pseudomonas fluorescens HK44, 135 nucleotides long. The record is from Rfam. Lineage: Bacteria; Pseudomonadati; Pseudomonadota; Gammaproteobacteria; Pseudomonadales; Pseudomonadaceae.
UCGCGGGUGACUGCGAAUCUGAAGGAAGCCCGAGGCAAAAUGCUGGCCUGACGAACAGGAAGCGGAUAGUGGCGGCGUAGCGGGGUGAGGCAGCAAAGAGUGCCAAAGCCCAGUACUUGGUAAGCGCUCCAUAAA